UUAUUUGUCAAGCAUACUAGAACGUCAGAAACAAAAAGCGAACAAUAUCGAGCUGCUGCUUCUCAAGUAUCGCCAUGGUCUGGUGGGCCCCUGAUAGCUUUCUCCGUCCCUUCCACUCCUGGAGUACUAGGCUCCUGCAAGUCUGUCACAAGGCUGAAAAGAAGGCCAUCACAAAAAGGCAAGAAGAGGGGGAAAGAAGAGGGAAGGAAGGAAGGAAGGAAAGAAGAGGGUGAGUAAGUGAGCUCCUUCCCUCCCCCGGAGUUGGUUGGUCCGUGUUUCCUUCUUUCUACUACCCAAGUUGUGCUUCCUUGAAAAAGGCCCAUGAUAAUAAAACCAGCGGGCAGAGUGUUUGCAGUCUCAGUUCCCUUCAGUUAGGGUUUUGCGUCGGAAGUGAGUUGUGCUAGAGAGGGAUCGUGGAUCGUGAAACUUUGGAGUGGGUGUGAAUAUCGUUCUGCCUCUGCGGUUAUCUUAGGCAAAGAUAACCAAAAGUCAUGUCCUCCAAAUCAUCGUCUACUCAGUCGCUGAAUUCCAUUCCCGUUUCCUCGGAUGGUGACGCGGCUGAUCCUCUACGUCUGAAGGAACUGGAGGACAUCGAGAAGGCCAAACCCAAGCCUCCACGUCCUCCCCCACCCAGGAGCAACACCAUCACAUCGGAAAAGCCUUAUCGACCUCCGCCACCCAGGAGUAGCACCAUUAGUGGCUCCCAGCACCCUGAGGACGUGGAGGACGAGGAGAGGGAGAAGAAGAAGAAAAAGAAGCAUAAGCAUAAAGAGCACAAAGAGAAGAAGGAAAAAAAAGAAAAGAAAGAGAAAAGGGAAAAGAAGGAAAAAAGAGAUAGGCCAGAUAAAUCCGAAUCUGCCCAUGGGGCUUCUUCAGAACUCAAGCGACAAUCGGUCACCAGUGUCACUAGCAAUAAAUCUGAAUCGAAGACUGAGCCCGAGAAUCCCGACCAGGACUCCAAGGAGGAGGGCGAACAAGCAGAACCCUCUACGGGAUGGAAGAAACUGGUUAAUUCAUCCUUUGGUAUCUGGCAAGCUACCACCAAUAGCGUGUCCACCGCCAAGAACGCCACGGUGAACGCGGCUGUUUACGCCAAGGAUUCCACGGUGAACGCGGCCGUCAAGACCAAGGACGCGACGGUCAAUGCAGCAGUGUAUGCCAAAGAUUCGACCGUACAUGCAGCCGUCAAAACCAAGGAUGCCACUGUAAAUGCAGCUGUCUAUGCCAAAGACACAACGGUUAACGCAGCUUCUACUGCCAAGGAUGCCACGGUUACGGCUGCAUCCACCGCCAAAGAUGCCACUUACAGUGCUUCCUCUGUAGCCGCUACUGGAGUCACAAGCAGCUUUGCCAAUGUUGUACUUUUGGCUAAGAAGGCUGCCAAAGAAACACGCUACAAGAUGGGUCCCGCUGCCGAUACGAUCACCUUGAUUCACUUCAACGACGUCUACAACGUAGAAUCACGUGAGCAAGAACCUGUGGGUGGAGCCGCUCGCUUUUCCACCGCCAUCAAGGGCUUUGAGGAUCGGGCUCCCAUUGUGUUGUUCUCCGGCGACAUCUUUGCACCUUCAAUAAUGAGUACGAUGACCAAAGGCGAGCAAAUGAUCCCGGUUCUGGAAAAGGUUGGAACACAUUGCGCUUGUUAUGGAAACCAUGACUUUGAUUUUGGCAUCGACACUCUCAUGGAACAUACCGAGAAAAACAGCUUCCCUUGGCUCAUGUCCAACGUGGUUGACAACGAAACUGGCCGACCCUUGGCCGAGGGAGUGAUUACUCAUAUCAUGGAUUGGUGCGGCAGAAAAAUUGGAUUGAUGGGAUUGGUGGAAAGGGAAUGGUUGGACACUUUGGCCACUAUUAACCCUGAGGAAGUCACUUACACAGACUAUGCGGAGGUGGGCAAAAUGCUAUGUAAGGAGUUGAGAGAAAAAGGUUGCGAGUACAUAAUCGCUCUCACUCACAUGAGGACUCCCAAUGAUGUUCGAUUGGCUGAAGAGGUUGACGACAUUGACCUGAUCCUCGGCGGACAUGACCAUGUUUAUGAAAAGAAAAUGAUUAACGGGAAGUACAUUUUGAAAAGUGGAACCGACUUUCGACAGUUCUCGAUAGUCACCGUCAAUUUCACCGAGGAGAAGCCGUCGGUUGAGAUUGAGGCUGUGGAGGUCACUUCGGAGUUUGAACCAGACCCAGAGCUGGCUGCUACUUUGGAGAAAUAUGAAGAGAAAAUGGAGGCCGAAAUGUGCAAAGAGCUGGGCGAGUUCCAAUGUGAUUUGGACGGCCGUUUCUCGGCCAUUCGCACCCAGGAGACCAACUUGGGCAACUUCAUCUGUGAUAUUAUGGUAGCGGCUACCAACGCAGAUUUUGCCCUUCUCAACUCCGGGACAUUCAGAUCUGAUCAGGUCCAUCCAGCGGGACCUUUCUUCCUCAAGGAUCUACUUACCAUCUUACCCAUGAUUGAUCCACUUGUCCUGGUUGAAGUUACAGGAGAGCAAGUCCUACAAUGCCUUGAGAAUGGAGUGUCUCAAUAUCCAAAACUGGAGGGGCGUUUCCCUCAAGUGAGCGGGAUUUCCUUCGUUUUUGAUCCCAAGAAACCCAAUGGUUCAAGAGUUGACGCGCAGUACGUCAAAAUUGGUGACGAAUACUUGAAGAAGGACACCAAGUAUCACAUGGCCACAAAAGCCUAUCUUGCUAUUGGCAAAGAUGGCUACGACUGUUUGGCAGAGGCAAAUCAAAUCAUCGACGAGGAAAAUGGACCCACUCUCACUGUGGCAGUACAAAAUCAUUUCAAGGCCCUGGCCAUGAGAGAAGGCAGGACCAGGCGGCCUUCAGUUCACCAUCAAUCACUCAUUACUUUAUCACGAAGAACGAGCAUUGUUCGACAAUUGACUGAAGAUGGAACUCACCACAUUCCGGCUCAUCUGCCGGAGAAAUUCCAAUCCUUGGAUCUUUCCACUCUCAGACCCAAACUCAAGAAGCAAGCCACCAUUGCCGAUUUGGAGGCCAUUAAUCUCAGUCCUAGAGCUCAUGGCAGGAUCGUUCAAGCCUCUCCCGAGGCUUGAUUGUAUUUACUUAAACGUUACUUCGAAGUUCCUUGUUUACAUUUUUCCCUCCAAGUUUUUGAUUGGUUGCACAUCUCUCUUUUACGAAAACAGAACAUUGCCAAGUUGAAGCGCCGCAAAGAUCGACAUCUCAAGGGUGAAAUCAUCAUGGAAGAAGAGGAAACAGAGGGCUUUGAUCAAGGCGUGGUACCUCCUCCUGAUGAGGAUCUUUGUUAGUUGGCCUUUAAAACAUGCCUCAUCACUCAUUUGACCUUGCAAAUAUUACAGUAUACUAUGAAAACCCUUAGCGCAACAGACUGUACCAUAUAGUGACCAUUUCUCAAUUUCUAUGCGUAGAACCCAAAGAAAGUAAGCAUUUAACUUGUCCAUUUCAAGGUUGAUGAAACUAGAUGGAUCUUAUGUUGGCAUGUCAAAUCUAAAUAUCAAGAAAACUGUUGAUUGUUACACAACUUUGAUUAGACUCCUCUCAUGCCUCAACCCUUUAGUUCUCGCCAUUGAAUAAUUGUGACACUAAAUGAGCUGUUAAAGUAGACACCUUAAUUUUUACCAAGUCAAGCCCCCCUCCCUUUCCCCCUUGUUUCAACUCUUCAUAUUGUUAAAGGUACCGGGUCACUGAAAUAAGAAUUCUGAAAAUGUAACUUAAAGCUUUUUUCAAUUUGUUAAUUGUUAUUGAAAAAUAAAAUGCUAAGGAAAUAAUGAAAUGGUCAAAAGGAGUAAAGAUGUUGGAAAUAGAACUUGA
RNA transcript from Tigriopus californicus, 3795 nucleotides. RefSeq lists it as uncharacterized. The record is from RefSeq and is a predicted model, not a curated record. NCBI's taxonomy places the organism in Eukaryota, Metazoa, Arthropoda, Copepoda, Harpacticoida, Harpacticidae. The transcript is spliced from 11 exons.